AACGAACGCUGGCGGCAGGCUUAACACAUGCAAGUCGAACGCAUCCUUCGGGGUGAGUUGCAGACGGGUGAGUAACGCGUGGGAACGUGCCCUUCAGUUCGGGAUAACCCAGGGAAACUUGGGCUAAUACCGGAUACGUGCGAGAGCAGAAAGAUUUAUCGCUGAAGGAUCGGCCCGCGUCUGAUUAGCUGGUUGGGGGGGUAAUGGCCCACCAAGGCGACGAUCAGUAGCUGGUCUGAGAGGAUGAUCAGCCACAUUGGGACUGAGACACGGCCCAAACUCCUACGGGAGGCAGCAGUGGGGAAUAUUGGACAAUGGGCGCAAGCCUGAUCCAGCCAUGCCGCGUGAGUGAUGAAGGCCUUAGGGUUGUAAAGCUCUUUCGUCCGGGACGAUAAUGACGGUACCGGAAGAAGAAGCCCCGGCUAACUUCGUGCCAGCCGCCGCCGUAA
Molecule: ribosomal RNA, 449 nt
Filed under: uncultured bacterium
Lineage: Bacteria
Description: partial 16S ribosomal RNA
Rfam family: Bacterial small subunit ribosomal RNA
Source: RNAcentral